UGGAAUUUUGUUCACGAGUCCAUCGCAU
This 28-nucleotide small RNA is filed under the name Bombyx mori (domestic silkworm). RNAcentral's name for it is "ovarian small RNA-34519". The record is from RNAcentral. Lineage: Eukaryota; Metazoa; Arthropoda; Insecta; Lepidoptera; Bombycidae.